AGGUUAAGUGAAUAACGGAGCCGUAGCGAAAGCGAGUGUUAACUGCGCGUUUAGUUGCUAGGUAUAGACCCGAAACCCGGUGAUCUAGCCAUGAGCAGGUUGAAGGUUGAGUAACAUCAACUGGAGGACCGAACCCACUAACGUUGAAAAGUUAGGGGAUGACUUGUGGCUGGGGGUGAAAGGCCAAUCAAACCGGGAGAUAGCUGGUUCUCCCCGAAAUCUAUUUAGGUAGAGCCUCGGACGAAUUCCAUUGGGGGUAGAGCACUGUUAAGGCUAGGGGGUCAUCCCGACUUACCAACCCUUUGCAAACUCCGAAUACCAAUGAGAACUAUCCGGGAGACACACGGCGGGUGCUAACGUCCGUCGUGGAGAGGGAAACAACCCAGACCGCCAGCUAAGGUCCCAAAAUAUUGCUAAGUGGGAAACGAUGUGGGAAGGCAUAGACAGCUAGGAGGUUGGCUUAGAAGCAGCCACCCUUUAAAGAAAGCGUAAUAGCUCACUAGUCGAGUCGGCCUGCGCGGAAGAUGUAACGGGGCUAAGCAAUAUACCGAAGCUGCGGCAGCAUAGUUUACUAUGCUGGGUAGGGGAGCGUUGUGUAAGUGGAUGAAGGUGAGUUGUAAAGCUUGCUGGACAUAUCACAAGUGCGAAUGCUGACAUGAGUAACGAUAAUGGGAGUGAAAAACUCCCACGCCGGAAGACCAAGGUUUCCUGUCCCAUGCUAAUCAGGGCAGGGUAAGUCGGCCCCUAAGGCGAGGCAGAAAUGCGUAGUCGAUGGGAAACGGGUUAAUAUUCCCGUACUUAUAUAAUCAGUGAUGGAGGGACGGAGAAGGCUAGGCAAGCUUGGCGUUGGUUGUCCAAGUGAAAGUGAGUAGGCUGAAGACUUAGGUAAAUCCGGGUUUUCAAGGCCGAGACACGAGACGAGCUCCCAAGGGAGUGAAGUUGUUGAUGCCCUGCUUCCAGGAAAAGCUUCUAAACUUAUGAUUAUAUGAACCGUACCCCAAACCGACACAGGUGGUCAGGUAGAGAAUACUAAGGCGCUUGAGAGAACUCGGGUGAAGGAACUCGGCAAAAUUGUACCGUAACUUCGGGAGAAGGUACGCCUCUGUUUGUGAACACUUCGCGUGGUAAGCAAAUGGAGGCCGCAGUGACCAGGUGGCUGGGACUGUUUAUUAAAAACACAGCACUCUGCAAACUCGUAAGAGGACGUAUAGGGUGUGACACCUGCCCGGUGCCGGAAGGUUAAUUGAUGGGGUUAGUUUUCGGACGAAGCUCUUGAUCGAAGCCCCGGUAAACGGCGGCCGUAACUAUAACGGUCCUAAGGUAGCGAAAUUCCUUGUCGGGUAAGUUCCGACCUGCACGAAUGGUGUAACCAUGGCCACGCUGUCUCCACCCGAGACUCAGUGAAAUUGAAAUCGCAGUGAAGAUGCUGUGUACCCGCACCUAGACGGAAAGACCCCGUGAACCUUUACUACAGCUUGGCACUGAACAUUGAACCUACAUGUGUAGGAUAGGUGGGAGGCUUUGAAGCACAGUCGCUAGAUUGUGUGGAGCCGUCCUUGAAAUACCACCCUUGUAUGUUUGAUGUUCUAACAUUGUUCCCUUAUCGGGAAUGUGGACAGUGUCUGGUGGGUAGUUUGACUGGGGCGGUCUCCUCCCAAAUAGUAACGGAGGAGCACGAAGGUUAGCUAAUCACGGUCGGACAUCGUGAGGUUAGUGCAAUGGCAUAAGCUAGCUUAACUGCGAGACAGACACGUCGAGCAGGUACGAAAGUAGGUCAUAGUGAUCCGGUGGUUCUGUAUGGAAGGGCCAUCGCUCAACGGAUAAAAGGUACUCCGGGGAUAACAGGCUGAUACCGCCCAAGAGUUCAUAUCGACGGCGGUGUUUGGCACCUCGAUGUCGGCUCAUCACAUCCUGGGGCUGAAGUCGGUCCCAAGGGUAUGGCUGUUCGCCAUUUAAAGUGGUACGCGAGCUGGGUUUAGAACGUCGUGAGACAGUUCGGUCCCUAUCUGGUGUGGGCGUUGGAUGAUUGAUGGGAGCUGCUCCUAGUACGAGAGGACCGGAGUGGACGAACCGCUGGUGUUCGGGUUGUCAUGCCAAUGGCAUUGCCCGGUAGCUAUGUUCGGAACGGAUAACCGCUGAAAGCAUCUAAGCGGGAAGCCGGCCCAAAGAUGAGUCAUCCCUGACCUUUAAGGUCUGGAAGGGUUGUUAUAGACGAUGACGUUGAUAGGCAGGGUGUGGAAGCGUUGUAAGGCGUUAAGCUAACCUGUACUAAUUGCCCGAGAGGCUUAACCA
Molecule: ribosomal RNA, 2292 nt
Filed under: Alteromonas macleodii
Lineage: Bacteria; Pseudomonadati; Pseudomonadota; Gammaproteobacteria; Alteromonadales; Alteromonadaceae
Description: bacterial LSU rRNA
Rfam family: Bacterial large subunit ribosomal RNA
Source: RNAcentral